UAAAAACACUGAUCCGGCUCUGCGCGAUACCCUUUGACCUCAUCGUAGAUUAAAGGGUUCCUGUGCUGAGAGUGACCGCUGACAGCUGAGUGUGACCAUCAUCCUUCAUCCAUUGCCCUCAACCUUCACAGAGCAGUAUCACCACAUCACCUACACACACACAAUCACCACAUCUUCAUCGUUUUCUCAAAUUUCAUUCUACGUAUAAGAUUAUAUUAGGUUGUCUUAGAUUAGUUUAGUUUAGUUUACAUUAGGUGGCUUAGGUUUAGGUCAGUUUGACAAGCAUUUCUCUUGUUGUUUUCUCUUGUUUUUAACUUCUAUCAGCAGGAUGCCAAGAAGCCGAGGCGGUCUGUGGUGUUGAAGCAGCGCUGGAGGAAGCUCAACCUGGAGGAGCUGAGGUCUUUCCCCACCCCCCCGGAGACGGUGUCCCCCCCGGCUGGAGAGGAGCCUUCCAGAGGGUCAAGGACCAAGAGGACCAGGGAGACGCACCCCCCCCUCCUCCCAAGCUCCAGUCGGCGACACAGUUGGAUCUUCACCCCCAGCCAAGCCUUUCUGGAGCCUGGAUGAUGUGCAAGUUCGUGCACAUAAGCCGCGGUACCGGUUACCGCCAUCCGGUGGAGACGUGGCCAACUUCGAAGUUCUAAGUCUCCUGACAAGCAGUUUGUUCUGAUUGUCGGGGACUCCCAUCUCCGGGCCUUCGUGGACCGUUUCACCGAGAUGCCAGAAGGGAAGUUUUUCUUUUGGUAUCAUGUCAACCCCUGGGGCCCAUGCUGCUCAGCUGCGCACUGAGGUCCUACAUGCCAAGGUUCCUCAAGACCCUGAUGCUGUUUGUGUUCUUGCUCCUAGCAACAACCUGACAGCGAGCAGGACCGUCGACGAGGCAGCCGUUGACUACGCCCGAUUCCUCACUGCUGUGAGGAGCCGCUGGUCGGAGGUCUUUGUGGUGGACUUCCCCCCCCUCCGCCUGAACGAGAAUGAGGAGCACCAGAGGGCCCUACGCCACGCGUACCAUCGUGUGACAGCUCGCAUGGGUUUGAGGUACUUCUCUGCAGAGGAGUACUUCCCCCGUACGCGCUUGGAUCUGUGGAGCAGAGACGGCAUAAGU
This is a long non-coding RNA of Acanthopagrus latus (yellowfin seabream), 1105 nucleotides long. RefSeq lists it as uncharacterized. The record is from RefSeq and is a predicted model, not a curated record. NCBI's taxonomy places the organism in Eukaryota, Metazoa, Chordata, Actinopteri, Spariformes, Sparidae. The transcript has 8 exons.